RNAcentral lists this ribosomal RNA (253 nucleotides) under uncultured bacterium. Its description in RNAcentral is "partial 16S ribosomal RNA". It matches the Rfam family "Bacterial small subunit ribosomal RNA", at positions 524 to 776 of the family's 1533-position model. The record is from RNAcentral.
UACGGAGGGUGCGAGCGUUGUCCGGAAUCACUGGGCGUAAAGGGCGCGUAGGCGGCCUGAUAAGUAGGGGGUGAAAUCCUGCGGCUUAACCGCAGGGCUGCCUUCUAAACUGUCAGGCUGGAGCACAGUAGAGGCAGGUGGAAUUCCCGGUGUAGCGGUGGAAUGCGUAGAGAUCGGGAAGAACAUCAGUGGCGAAGGCGGCCUGCUGGGCUGUUGCUGACGCUGAGGAGCGAAAGCGUGGGGAGCGAACAGG